UACAGAGGGGGCAAGCGUUGUUCGGAAUUACUGGGCGUAAAGGGCGCGUAGGCGGCCUGUUAAGUCGGACGUGAAAUCCCUCGGCUCAACCGGGGAACUGCGUCCGAUACUGGCGGGCUUGAAUUCGGGAGAGGGAUGUGUAAUUCCAGGUGUAGCGGUGAAAUGCGUAGAUAUCUGGAGGAACACCGGUGGCGAAGGCGGCAUCCUGGACCGACAUUGACGCUGAGGCGCGAAAGCCAGGGGAGCAAACGGG
RNAcentral lists this ribosomal RNA (253 nucleotides) under uncultured bacterium. Its description in RNAcentral is "partial 16S ribosomal RNA". It matches the Rfam family "Bacterial small subunit ribosomal RNA", at positions 524 to 776 of the family's 1533-position model. The record is from RNAcentral.